Molecule: long non-coding RNA, 521 nt
Filed under: Vigna radiata
Lineage: Eukaryota; Viridiplantae; Streptophyta; Magnoliopsida; Fabales; Fabaceae
Description: long non-coding RNA (VRAD_LNC012369)
Source: RNAcentral
AAUUCAACUCAAACAAGUUCCAAUUAAUCAUACAACAGAACCUAACUCAUCAUUUUUCCACUUAGACCAAUAUUUCUCAAAUUCACCUGUUAAACCCCCCCUCCCCUAAUUUUAAACAAAAUCAACUAGUAAAUCAUCUUAAUACUUCCUUCUCAACAUUUCACUCAAGCGAACAUCACCAACAUUCAAAACCACAAAAUUUCAUAACCAACUCAAUUCAAACAUAAUCAUUAUAGUCCAAGAACAUCCAUAAAAGUAUCAAACAUCCAAAAGCUAAUAACAAACAUGCAAAAUCACAAUUUCCACUAAAAUAGAUAUUCCUAUUUCCAACCAAGCCAAUAAAUUCUAUGACCAAUCUUAAAUCAUGCCAAUCAUAUAAAAAUAAAAUCAACAAAAAGUCACUAACUUCCAUUACCUUAAAAAGAACUACUAAGUUCUAAGAAAACACAACAGUUGCUUCUAGUACAAGGAACUCUAAAAUUGUCUACAAACUACAAAAUUUGAUCCAAAUCAACCAUUAG